RNAcentral lists this ribosomal RNA (484 nucleotides) under uncultured bacterium. RNAcentral's name for it is "partial 16S ribosomal RNA". It matches the Rfam family "Bacterial small subunit ribosomal RNA", at positions 30 to 507 of the family's 1533-position model. The record is from RNAcentral.
AUUGAACGCUGGCGGCAGGCCUAACACAUGCAAGUCGAGCGGAGGAAGGGAGCUUGCUCCUGGAUUCAGCGGCGGACGGGUGAGUAAUGCCUAUGAAUCUGCCUGGUAGUGGGGGAUAACGUCCGGAAACGGGCGCUAAUACCGCAUACGUCCUGCGGGAGAAAGUGGGGGAUCUUCGGACCUCACGCUAUCAUAUGAGCCUAGGUCGGAUUAGCUAGUUGGUGGGGUAAAGGCCUACCAAGGCGACGAUCCGUAACUGGUCUGAGAGGAUGAUCAGUCACACUGGAACUGAGACACGGUCCAGACUCCUACGGGAGGCAGCAGUGGGGAAUAUUGGACAAUGGGCGAAAGCCUGAUCCAGCCAUGCCGAGUGUGUGAAGAAGGUCUUCGGAUUGUAAAGCACUUUAAGUUGGGAGGAAGGGCAGUAAGUUAAUACCUUGCUGUUUUGACGUUACCAACAGAAUAAGCACCGGCUAACUUCGUG